RNAcentral lists this ribosomal RNA (562 nucleotides) under uncultured bacterium. Its description in RNAcentral is "partial 16S ribosomal RNA". It matches the Rfam family "Bacterial small subunit ribosomal RNA", at positions 355 to 1375 of the family's 1533-position model. The record is from RNAcentral.
UGGGGAAUAUUGGACAAUGGGCGCAAGCCUGAUCCAGCCAUGCCGCGUGAGUGAUGAAGGCCUUAGGGUUGUAAAGCUCUUUCGCCGGUGAAGAUAAUGACGGUAACCGGAGAAGAAGCCCCGGCUAACUUCGUGCCAGCAGCCGCGGUAAUACGAAGGGGGCUAGCGUUGCUCGGAAUCACUGGGCGUAAAGCGCACGUAGGCGGAUCGUUAAGUCAGGGGUGAAAUCCUGGAGCUCAACUCCAGAACUGCCCUUGAUACUGGCGAUCUCGAGUUCGAGAGAGGUUGGUGGAACUCCGAGUGUAGAGGUGAAAUUCGUAGAUAUUCGGAAGAACACCAGUGGCGAAGGCGGCCAACUGGCUCGAUACUGACGCUGAGGUGCGAAAGCGUGGGGAGCAAAACAGGAUUAGAUACCCUGGUAGUCCACGCCGUAAAACGAUGGAUGCUAGCCGUUGGGGGGUUUACCUCUCAGUGGCGCAGCUAACGCCUUAAGCAUCCCGCCUGGGGAGUACGGUCGCAAGAUUAAAACUCAAAUGAAUUGACGGGGUCAUAGCUGUUUCCU